Molecule: long non-coding RNA, 1011 nt
Organism: Cucurbita moschata (crookneck pumpkin)
Lineage: Eukaryota; Viridiplantae; Streptophyta; Magnoliopsida; Cucurbitales; Cucurbitaceae
Exons: 2
Source: RefSeq, a predicted model, not a curated record
GUGGGCUUAGACCGUUACAAAUGGUAUCAGAGCCAGACACCGGGCGAUGUGCCAGCGAGGAGGUUGAGCCCUAAAGAGGGGUUGACACGAGGCUGUGUGCUACCUCUCCCUCGGGUGGGAGAGUCCUUCUCGAAAAGUUAAAACCAGAAAAUGAAAGCCAAUCCAUAAACAUGUAAAGUUUAUACAUUUGCAUAGGCAGAGAUCAAAGUGUGAAGUGUACAUAUAACCCAUUUGUAGAGGGAAAAAAGAAAGAAAGACAAAGAACUCAUUUGUAAUGCACAAACCAACAACAAACAAAGAAUGGUCAGAAGUUUCUUUGAAUCAUGUCUUCAACUAAUGUCCUGGUCCUCUUUUGCUCGGUCCAGAAGUAUGCUUGAAUGCCCAUCUUCCCUUCCGACCACCACCAAACCUAACGAACUCAGUCGUGUUACCUUUCCCGACAUGCUCCCGGCCAGUUCCCAUCACAGCCCGAGUAUCUCCCAUCGAUGUGAGCACCCUGCAAUCCACAUGAACAAACACCAUUGCCAACAGUAUCAUCACAGCCAAAACUCCAACACAACAACGCUUCAUCCUUCCUUGUGAAUCUUCCAAAUAUGUUCAUACAUUUAAACUACCAAAUUCUUUGACUCUGCCUUUCAUUUCCCACUGAGAGAACAUUGACUUGUCCAAACACAAGGCCAGUUGUUCAUACGUGAAGAAAAAGUCAGAAAAAGGGAGAAAGUUGUUUAGCAGGGCCACCGCCAUAAGAUCUGACGCAAAAAUUAGACACUUUUAUGAAUCACAUACAGCUUCCAUCCAUCGGCACGCGGGUUGUAUCUUUUUGUGAUAUAUAAUUUAUAAUUGUUGAAGAAGUUCUUCUGGUGUGAAAUUUCAUCAUCCUUUUGGGCGUCAUAGUUGAUGCAAGGAAGUUUCGUUUAAAGAGAAUUGAUUAUGAUUAUGUAUGCAUCUGGAAAUAACAUGCAGAUAUCAUAAAGUGAGUGAUGAGAAUAAAGGGGAAGCGUUGUAGAUAUU